RNAcentral lists this ribosomal RNA (705 nucleotides) under uncultured bacterium. RNAcentral's name for it is "bacterial SSU rRNA". It matches the Rfam family "Bacterial small subunit ribosomal RNA", at positions 94 to 801 of the family's 1533-position model. The record is from RNAcentral.
AGCGGCGGACGGGUGAGUAAUGCCUAGGAAUCUGCCCUUUUGUGGAGGAUAACCCGGGGAAACUCGGGCUAAUACUGCAUAAUCUCUACGGAGCAAAGCGGGGGAUCUUUUGACCUCGCGCAGAAGGAUGAGCCUAGGUCUGAUUAGCUUGUUGGUGGGGUAACGGCCUACCAAGGCGACGAUCAGUAGCUGGUCUGAGAGGAUGAUCAGCCACACCGGGACUGAGACACGGCCCGGACUCCUACGGGAGGCAGCAGUGGGGAAUAUUGGACAAUGGGCGAAAGCCUGAUCCAGCCAUGCCGCGUGUGUGAAGAAGGCCUUAGGGUUGUAAAGCACUUUAAGCAGGAAAGAAAAGCGCCGGAUUAAUACUCCGAGCGUAUUGACGGUACCUGCAGAAUAAGCACCGGCUAACUCCGUGCCAGCAGCCGCGGUAAUACGGAGGGUGCAAGCGUUAAUCGGAAUUACUGGGCGUAAAGCGUGCGUAGGCGGUUGCGUGUGUCAAAUGUGAAAGCCCCGGGCUCAACCUGGGAAUUGCAUUCGAAACUGCGUGACUAGAAUAUGGUAGAGGAAGAUGGAAUUCCACGUGUAGCGGUGAAAUGCGUAGAUAUGUGGAAGGACACCAAUGGCGAGCAUCUUCUGGGUAUAAUGACGCUGAGUACGAAGCGUGGCUAGCAAACAGCAUAGAAUACCCUGGUAGCCCACGGU